RNAcentral lists this ribosomal RNA (646 nucleotides) under uncultured bacterium. Its description in RNAcentral is "bacterial SSU rRNA". It matches the Rfam family "Bacterial small subunit ribosomal RNA", at positions 254 to 916 of the family's 1533-position model. The record is from RNAcentral.
GGGGUAACAGCCCACCAAGGCAGCGAUCAGUAGCCGGCCUGAGAGGGUGAACGGCCACAUUGGGACUGAGACACGGCCCAAACUCCUACGGGAGGCAGCAGUGGGGAAUAUUGCACAAUGGGGGGAACCCUGAUGCAGCGACGCCGCGUGAGUGAAGAAGUAUUUCGGUACGUAAAGCUCUAUCAGCAGGGAAGAAAAUGACGGUACCUGACUAAGAAGCCCCGGCUAACUACGUGCCAGCAGCCGCGGUAAUACGUAGGGGGCGAGCGUUAUCCGGAUUUACUGGGUGUAAAGGGAGCGUAGACGGCAGCGCAAGUCUGGAGUGAAAUGGCGGGGCCCAACCCCGGAACUGCUUUGGAAACUGUGCAGCUUGAGUGCAGGAGAGGUAAGCGGAAUUCCUAGUGUAGCGGUGAAGUGCGUAGAUAUUAGGAGGAACACCAGUGGCGAAGGCGGCUUACUGGACUGUAACUGACGUUGAGGCUCGAAAGCGUGGGGAGCAAACAGGAUUAGAUACCCUGGUAGUCCACGCCGUAAACGAUGAUUACUAGGUGUCGGGGGACCAAGGUGCUCCGGUGCCGGCGCAAACGCAUUAAGUAAUCCACCUGGGGAGUACGUUCGCAAGAAUGAAACUCAAAGGAAUUGACGG